RNAcentral lists this long non-coding RNA (1179 nucleotides) under Junco hyemalis (dark-eyed junco). RNAcentral describes it as "lncRNA (ENSJHYG00000015232.1)". The record is from RNAcentral. Lineage: Eukaryota; Metazoa; Chordata; Aves; Passeriformes; Passerellidae.
NNNNNNNNNNNNNNNNNNNNNNNNNNNNNNNNNNNNNNNNNNNNNNNNNNNNCCAGAGCCACCUGCGAGCGCUGUCCUCUCCUGGUGGCUGCCUCCUCCUCCCUGGCAGCCCCGUCCUCCUUGCUGGUGGCCAUCUCCUCCUCGCUGGCAGCCUCCUCCUCUUCACUGGCAACCUCUUCCUCCUUGCUGGCAGCCUCCUCCUCCAACUCCUUGUCAGUGGCCGCUGCCACCCGGGCAUUGGACACGGCCCCAACCGAGGCCACCUCCUCCCUGUCCAGGGCCACAGGCGGCUGCUGAGCUGUGGCCAGCUGGUUGUCCCCACCUGUCUCCCUGUGGGUGACCUCAUCCUGCAGGUCCCCAGCCUGGGCGGUGGCCUCAGUGGUGGCAUCGGUGGUGGCCUCAUCCCCACUGGCCUCAUUCUCACUGGCCUCGUCCUCACUGGCCUCAUCCUCACUGGCCUCGUCCUCACUGGCCUCAUCCUCACUGGCCUCAUUCUCACUGGCCUCGCAGAACUCAGAAGCCUCCCAGGCCAGGAAGUACCAGCUCUCUCCAAGCAUGCACACCCUUUCCCGCCAGGCCGUGGCCACGUCUCUCACUUUGGCCCAGGUGUCCUCUGGGGUGGACCCAAGGGUGGCCAGGGCCCGGUCCAGGGAGAGGACACUGAUGUAGCUCGAGGAGGUGACACCACAGUGGUUCAGGGCAUCCCGGAGGCUGCAGGCAAAGCUCCUCAGGGACUCUGGGGUCACGCGCUGCUGCUCGUCCCUCUGUGGCCCGGUCACGGUGGCCGCCACCUUGCCCAGGGUCGCUACUACGUCCACCAGAGCCCACAGCAGCUGGGAAGAGGAUGGCUGGGCAGGGGACAGGGGAGGUGUCAGGGACCUUGUGGCACUUGUGGCCUCCUGCUCUGGCCCCUGUGCCCUGCUGGGGUGCCCUUUGUGCCCUCCCUGGAGGGCUCUGCUGUCCCCUCUGUCUCUUUGUCACCCCCUUGUCCCCUCUGCCACUCCCGGCCACCCUCCCGCUGUCCCCUCUGCCACCCUCAGUCACCUCUACCCCUCUGCCACCUCCCCCCUUCUUGCCACUGCCCCCAUCCCCUCUUGUCACCCCCAUGUCCCCCCAUGCCGAGAUUGUCACACCUUGUAGGGCUCCAUGGCUGCUGGGGACACGCUGGGGACACUCCGG